GCCCAUGGAAAAAUCUUUGACAAACGAGGAGAUCUUGCAGGAUUAGGAAGGAAACCCCAAAAUGGCGUUGCAUUAAGCAAUGUGACCCCCUUUACAAGGUGUGGACUGGAUGCAGCUAAAUACAGAGCAACAAAACCUCCAAGAGAGUUUCCAACAAUAUAAACUGGUUCACCGAUAACCUGCAAGAGGUUAUAAACUUAGAAUAAGAAAAAUGAGACAUCAAUCCAACAGUUAAAGAUAUAUGUCACUGAACUGGUUGUGAAUAGGAAGAUUCUAAGUAGUAUGAAAACAAAACAAAAAAUGUAUGAUUGACAUAACAGUCCUGGGAGACACGUCAACAAUUAUAACCAGCAAAGUUGAACCUCUAACACAUAGAUCAGUUAUAUUCCCAGGAAUUUUCUUAGUCGUAUGACCAAAAACCAAGAAACAUUCACCAAACAAGAUGUGUUAACGAUACAUCAUUUUUCUUUCAUUAAGAAUUAGUGAGCACCAAAGAAAAUUUUCUUUUUUUUGAAAAGGAGGGUGACCCCCAGCCUGUGCAUCAUUGCGAUGCACACAGCCAUCAAGCAUCAAAGAAGAUGAUCACAUAGUGUUUCAACUGGGAGAUUCGCGAGUAAGCAAGAACUCAAUUAUGCAACUAUGACGAGUUUGAAUAUACAUGAUAUUUGGGAUUCUUGACCAGCUCACCAUAACAACGUUUCCACAAGUCUAUGUAUAGAUGUAUAGUACUAAGAAAAUACGUACAUAAUUAAAUUGUUGUGGAACUCCAUUCUUGGUAUCUGCUACCACUUGGUGAUCUAACAACAAGCACUCGUGAUGAAAGUAAAAUAGCUAACUUGCUCUCUAAAAAAAACUUGCUAAUUAUUGCAGGACUACCGGAGAGUGCAAAGCACAGGAAGAUUUGUUAACGUGAAAGACAUAUUAGCAAAAAGAAUACUGGAUUAAACAACAGAUAUUCCAAAAUGGUACCUCCUCAAUGAAAUGCUGGACCUGGUCACGCCACAAGUCUACAGAGUACACCAAUUCAUCUGCCCAUGGUUGCGAAUCUUGUCCAAAACCCCAAUACGAUUCCUCAUCAUCCGCCCCUGCCGUGGCCUUAGGAGCAGGGUCUUCCGACGGCAAUGACAUUCCCUGUCCUAGAAAAUCCAUUGUCCACACCUUGUAAUCACGUCCAAGAUCCAUCAAUUGCUUCUCAAAAUGGAAGGUGCCCACUCCAAAACCUGGUAGAAAAAGCACCGCUGGCGCCUUGCUAUUCUUGGUGCCAGACUUCUCGUAGUAUACCGUCAGCUUCGGCCUCCACUCCCACAUACCAGUGCUGAUUU
This 1322-nucleotide long non-coding RNA is filed under the name Hordeum vulgare. RNAcentral's name for it is "long non-coding RNA (HVUL_LNC019737)". The record is from RNAcentral. Lineage: Eukaryota; Viridiplantae; Streptophyta; Magnoliopsida; Poales; Poaceae.